GGCAGAAUUUGGAAAAUCAAUGCACCUGACAUUGCGUCUAACAAACUGGUGGGGUAGGAUGGCGAUAGAUUACACUCUGAGAAUGACACUGUCUACACCAUGCGGUACUCUCUCUGAGCUGGACUUCCUAGUUUAUGAUAACUUCCUGUAUAACAGGAAAGGUAACUCAAGGCUGUAGGAACCGGAAUAUCCAGCAGGUGGCAUUAAUACAUGUAAACAGAAU
Amblyraja radiata (thorny skate) is the source of this 223-nucleotide long non-coding RNA. RefSeq lists it as uncharacterized. The record is from RefSeq and is a predicted model, not a curated record. Lineage: Eukaryota; Metazoa; Chordata; Chondrichthyes; Rajiformes; Rajidae. The transcript is spliced from 4 exons.